This 746-nucleotide ribosomal RNA is filed under the name Dennisiomyces sp. 1 DJL-2103. RNAcentral describes it as "eukaryotic LSU rRNA". The stretch from base 309 to 463 matches the Rfam family "5.8S ribosomal RNA". Lineage: Eukaryota; Fungi; Basidiomycota; Agaricomycetes; Agaricales; Tricholomataceae. The record is from RNAcentral.
GUAAAAGUCGUAACAAGGUUUCCGUAGGUGAACCUGCGGAAGGAUCAUUAUUGAAUGAACUUGGUUGGGCUGUUGCUGGCUCUCUUUUGGGGGCAUGUGCACGCUUGGCACCAAUUUCUUACCACCUGUGCACCUAUUGUAGACUAGGAAUCAACUCUUCGAGGUUUGACUCGGUUAUUGGUAAUUGCAGUGUGUGCAAGCCUGCUUUUUUGCCUACAGGUUCCUGUCUAUGCUUUUUUAUUAUACUCCUAUUUGUAUGUCUGGGAAUGUUAUUGAAUGGCAUGAAUUGCCCUUUAAUCUUAUUAUACAACUUUCAACAAUGGAUCUCUUGGCUCUCGCAUCGAUGAAGAACGCAGCGAAAUGCGAUAAGUAAUGUGAAUUGCAGAAUUCAGUGAACCAUCGAAUCUUUGAACGCACCUUGCGCUCCUUGGAAAUUCUGAGGAGCAUGCCUGUUUGAGUGUCAUGAUAUUCUCAACCUCUUCAACUUUUUGUUGAACGAGGCUUGGUAGUUGGGGGUAUGCCGGUGUUUUUUUUUCUUUUGUAAAAAAUUGGCUCUCCUCAAAUGCAUUAGCAGAACCUUUGUGGAACCAGCUUUCAGUGUGAUAAUUAUCUAUGCUGUAGCUUGCGAAGCAAUAUUGAUUGGGGUUUCAGCUUCUAACUGUCUCUUGUAGACAAACCUCUUGACUCUAUUUGACCUCAAAUCAGGUAGGACUACCCGCUGAACUUAAGCAUAUCAAUAAGCGGAG